GACGUGUUGAUCUUUUCGUAUGUGGAGCCGGCUCGUGUAUUUGUUCAAAUCUUCGGCACAAAUCGUUGUGCAAAAAGAAUUCGAAACACACCAGGAUAUCCCUCUGAAAUUCAGAAAAGAUUGUCUCGCAAGAACCCAACCAACAAUGCCCUUUGAAAAUGAAGCAUUAUGUAAUUUAAUCAGCCUUUUAUUAGUAGUAACUAAUCAGCUUUUGUAAUAUCUUAUCUAAUCAGCUUUUGUAAGAUAGACUGCCUUCAAAUUUGUAACCAGACUUUCCAUGAAGCUUUUGUGUGAUGGACUCUUUAAAGAACAGCUUUUGAUUUAAA
Non-coding RNA from Salvia hispanica, 326 nucleotides. The record is from RefSeq and is a predicted model, not a curated record. NCBI's taxonomy places the organism in Eukaryota, Viridiplantae, Streptophyta, Magnoliopsida, Lamiales, Lamiaceae.